This 496-nucleotide ribosomal RNA is filed under the name uncultured bacterium. RNAcentral describes it as "partial 16S ribosomal RNA". It matches the Rfam family "Bacterial small subunit ribosomal RNA", at positions 29 to 507 of the family's 1533-position model. The record is from RNAcentral.
AUGCACGCUGGCGGCGUGCCUAAUCCAUGCAAGUCGAGCGAACAGACGAGGAGCUUGCUCCUCUGACGUUAGCGGCGGACGGGUGAGUAACACGUGGAUAACCUACCUAUAAGACUGGGAUAACUUCGGGAAACCGGAGCUAAUACCGGAUAAUAUAUUGAACCGCAUGGUUCAAUAGUGAAAGACGGUUUUGCUGUCACUUAUAGAUGGAUCCGCGCCGCAUUAGCUAGUUGGUAAGGUAACGGCUUACCAAGGCAACGAUGCGUAGCCGACCUGAGAGGGUGAACGGCCACACUGGAACUGAGACACGGUCCAGACUCCUACGGGAGGCAGCAGUAGGGAAUCUUCCGCAAUGGGCGAAAGCCUGACGGAGCAACGCCGCGUGAGUGAUGAAGGUCUUCGGAUCUUAAAACUCUGUUAUUAGGGAAGAACAAAUGUGUAAGUAACUAUGCACGUCUUGACGGUACCUAAUCAGAAAGCCACGGCUAACUACGUG